GAUGAAGAACGCAGCGAAAUGCGAUAAGUAAUGUGAAUUGCAGAAUUCAGUGAAUCAUCGAAUCUUUGAACGCACAUUGCGCCCGCCAGUAUUCUGGCGGGCAUGCCUGUUCGAGCGUCAUUUCAACCAUCAAGCCCCAGGCUUGUGUUGGGGACCUGCGGCUGCCGCAGGCCCUGAAAACCAGUGGCGGGCUCGCUGUCACACCGGGCGUAGUAGAUUUUAUCUCGCUCAGGGCGUGCUACGGGUUCCGGCCGUUAAAAAGCCUUUUUUACCCAAGGUUGACCUCGGAUCAGGUAGGAAGACCCGCUGAACUUAAGCAUAUCAAUAAGCGGAGGA
RNAcentral lists this unclassified non-coding RNA (336 nucleotides) under soil metagenome. RNAcentral's name for it is "partial contains 5.8S ribosomal RNA, internal transcribed spacer 2, and large subunit ribosomal RNA". The stretch from base 1 to 120 matches the Rfam family "5.8S ribosomal RNA", at positions 35 to 154 of the family's 154-position model. The record is from RNAcentral.